CGCAAACUCUCAGCACCUUCGGAUCGACGAGUUCAAUCGAAAGAUCCGUGCCUUCAGGACGCGCCUGCGCCAGAGCCAGCCCGUGAUCGAGCUGCACAAUCAAGACCGCGCAAAACAUCGAGAACGCCCACGCUCCGCGCGAUGCGGCUAUCGCCAUCGCGGUCUCCUUGUCGAUUAUCGCCAGCGCGCUGCGCCAUUCGCCCUUGCUCAG
Molecule: unclassified non-coding RNA, 211 nt
Filed under: Hevea brasiliensis (rubber tree)
Lineage: Eukaryota; Viridiplantae; Streptophyta; Magnoliopsida; Malpighiales; Euphorbiaceae
Source: RNAcentral